Molecule: long non-coding RNA, 611 nt
Filed under: Brachypodium distachyon (stiff brome)
Lineage: Eukaryota; Viridiplantae; Streptophyta; Magnoliopsida; Poales; Poaceae
Description: long non-coding RNA (BDIS_LNC003504)
Source: RNAcentral
UCUGGUUGUGGUUAUGAUUAUUAUUGGCCAUUUGCUGAGUCAUCAACUGGAUGAACUGAGUCUGGGCUGCCAGUAAUUGUUGCACUAAUACAGCAUUCUCAUUCCCCUCUGCAUUAUUUUCAGCAUUGUUGUCAUUGUUGUUGGCAUUGUUGCGGGUUUGGCAUCUUGGAGGCAUCUGUUUUAGGAUAGUAAAGAUGAGAAAAAUAUAGAUGGAAGAGGUCUAAGGAUAUCUAUUCCCCCACAAACAGACACAAGCAUAUCAAUCAAACAACAAUCCUUUAUUAAAAUUUCUUUUGAAGAUUCCAAAUAAACGACAUAAAGACUCAUUGUUGGCCCACGGCCUAAGUAAAAAGGAAAAUAAAAUAUAAAUAAAAGAAAAGAAGAACCAACGGUCUACGUCGCCAUACAACAAAAGUUCUGUAUGGUCAACGACUAACACGUACUCGUAUUUUAUUAUAUGCUAAGUGAGAAGUGAUGGUCUCCAAACAACUAAGGGAGUGCGAUGAAGGUGGUGGCUCCACCGGUUCCCUUCCUGGAGCGGGUGUUGGCGGCUGGCGGGUCCUCCUCUGAGGGCUCAUCUGGAGGUGGUCCCUCUCCCUCGGGCUCGGGAG